Molecule: ribosomal RNA, 99 nt
Filed under: uncultured bacterium
Lineage: Bacteria
Description: partial 16S ribosomal RNA
Rfam family: Bacterial small subunit ribosomal RNA
Source: RNAcentral
UACACACCGCCCGUCACAUCACGAAAGUCGGCUGUACCGGAAGUAGGUGCGCUAACCGCAAGGGGGCAGCCUCCCAUGGUAUGGUCGGUGAUUGGGGUG